AGUGAACGCUGGCGGUAGGCCUAACACAUGCAAGUCGAACGGCAGCACAGUGAGAGCUUGCUCUUACGGGUGGCGAGUGGCGGACGGGUGAGGAAUACAUCGGAAUCUACUUUUUCGUGGGGGAUAACGUAGGGAAACUUACGCUAAUACCGCAUACGACCUACGGGUGAAAGCAGGGGAUCUUCUGACCUUGCGCGAUUGAAUGAGCCGAUGUCGGAUUAGCUAGUUGGCGGGGUAAAGGCCCACCAAGGCGACGAUCCGUAGCUGGUCUGAGAGGAUGAUCGGCCACACUGGAACUGAGACACGGUCCAGGCUCCUACGGGAGGCAGCAGUGGGGAAUAUUGGACAAUGGGCGCAAGCCUGAUCCAGCCAGACCGCGUGGGUGAAGAAGGCCUUCGGGUUGUAAAGCCCUUUUGCUGGGAAAGAAAAGCAGCAGGUUAAUACCCCGCUGUUCUGACGGUACCCAAAGAAUAAGCACCGGCUAACUUCGUG
Molecule: ribosomal RNA, 492 nt
Filed under: uncultured bacterium
Lineage: Bacteria
Description: partial 16S ribosomal RNA
Rfam family: Bacterial small subunit ribosomal RNA
Source: RNAcentral